UUACGCGACACCAGAGAGGCCCGAUUGUCGCUACAGUCGAUCGCGUGACGCCGAAACACAUUCGAGGUUAUCUUCUGUCAACAGCAUCUUCAAAAUUAUAAUUUUAAGUGCAGCAGGUAUGGGAGUCUAUGGACGACGGGGGUCGAGUAUUUCCAACUGGCCGAGUUCGAUGGUGUCGACAGGAUAACCAGUGGCCGUUGGCGAUGCAUUGCUCGUGGAAAUCCCCUAACGAACCGCAUUUACAUCUGAAAGACUCCUGGCCCCGGAUCCACGCUAAACUAGAGUCUGGUAUGCAGCCUUUGGGAGCCAUCCAGAUGCUCACGGUUCGAUUGAAAUCUUUGAUCGAGACGCGUGGCUUAUUUGUAAUUUUGCCUCGAUAUUUCCAUCACCAGUCGAAUUAAACGAAUAGCAGAACAGACUGAUUAAUAGAGUUGACUGUUAAUUAUUUCCAGUUUAAGGCAAUUUUAUAUAUGGACUUAAAAGGAAAAUCAUUUAAUAGGGUAUAAGUUUGUGUAUAACUUUCGGUUUUCAUUGAAGUCAAAAUUUCUCAAGGUUCUCGAGUAUACUAUACGAUAAAGAACAUGUAUUUCUACAAUGUUUCCGUAAUAAACUUGUAUUUCUCGCCAACAGUUGCGCAUUGUGUUAUAUAAGCAACAUAUUUGAGAUAAUGUUGUAUUUUCAGACAUUUUCCAA
Non-coding RNA from Osmia lignaria (orchard mason bee), 693 nucleotides. Lineage: Eukaryota; Metazoa; Arthropoda; Insecta; Hymenoptera; Megachilidae. The record is from RefSeq and is a predicted model, not a curated record.